AGGGGUUUCAUCUCCUUUUCCAAAAUCUCCCUCUUUGGCCCCCAGCUGGUGGCUUCUCCCCAAGUGCUUUGAAAUAAACACGCUGGGCUGGCAACCCCGCUCUCCAGCAGCCGAUCAGGUACAGCACUUGGAUGCGGACGGCUUUUACAGCUCAGUAAACUGGCGUCCUAAGUGCUCGGAGAGCAGCUAGCCGCUCUGACGUUAAGGCCCGGGUGUGUUUUUCUCUUUCUCUCAACUCUUUUUCUGUCUCUCUCUCUCUUUUUUUACCUUUGCUCUCCUACCUCUCCCUGUCCCUUGUCCACCGACUGAGCCACGCGGGGGAUGCAGCGCAUGGGAAGCACAGACGCGAGGAAGGGUGGUCUUGCAGGCCAUCUGGUUCCAGGCAUUUGAAAAUGACCGAAUAAAGGCUGGUUUCUGGGACCUCUCCAUGGCUCCUGCCAGCUGCCACGCAGGAAGUUCCGAGUCCGGAGAGCAAAUCAUCAGCAAAGCUCAAGGAUUCUCCU
Long non-coding RNA from Mauremys reevesii (Reeves's turtle), 503 nucleotides. RefSeq lists it as uncharacterized. The transcript has 3 exons. Lineage: Eukaryota; Metazoa; Chordata; Testudines; Geoemydidae. The record is from RefSeq and is a predicted model, not a curated record.